UUUCCAAGUUUCUAGUAAAUGUGUUAUCAUCUUUUCAUAAUUUAAAAAAAUAAAAAAGAAGUAAAAAAACUUCCUAGAGAGAGCAUAGUACCACAGUGUGUAGCACAGAGGCAUUGGUAAGCACCAAAAGCAUUCCUUAAAUAUGUAAACACAAGAAGGAAGUACAUCAAGGUUGAUACCUGAAGGUCAGGUGAGAUUUGGUAUGAAAGGGGGGGUGGGAAGAAUGUCGCAGGCUGAAGUAACAGCAGGUGCAAAGGCCCAGAGGCAAGAGUGUGCCAGGUUGGGGGAACUGAAAGUCAGGAAUGGCUGGAGAGCACACUGCUGGGAGAGGAAAAGCAAAUGAGGUUGGAAAGAUGAACAGAAGCCUCCUGGUCACGGAGGUAUUGUAAACCAAAUGCAACAGUGGCGAGUGUUAAGAGACAUGAUGAUAUGAUAUUUGCCUUUGAGACAACCAAAUAGCCUUGCAGCAUGAAAAGCAGAUUAGAGGAGGGGGAGUAGGAGUUAGGAAGCCAGUGCAAAAGGCCAGGAGCGCGAGAGAGCAUGGGUGUGAGCCCUGGUGUGGGGGAUGGAAGUAAACUCGAGAGACAUCUCGGAGAUAAAACAGAAAGGCCGAACGUGAGCAGCGGCGGCGGUGACGGAAGUGGCCGGGGAGGCCGGUCCCUGCCGACACCAUGCGUCCCUUGUCGCUGCUGAAAACGGCUCAGAAUCACCCAGUGUUGGUGGAGCUCAAAAACGGGGAGACAUACAACGGGCACCUGGUGAGUGACAACUGGAUGAACAUCAACUUGCGUGAGGUGAUCUGCACGUCCAGGGACGGGACAAAUUCUGGCGGAUGCCCGAGUGUUACAUCCGCAGCAGCACCAUCAAGUACCUGUGCAUCCCGGACGAGAUCAUUGACAUGGUCAAGGAGGAGGUGGUGGCCAAGGGCCGUGGCCGCGGUGGCCUGCAGCAGCAGCAGCAGCAGCAGAAGGGCCGUGGGAUGGGGGGCUCCGGACGAGAUGUGUUCGGUGGCCGGGGCCGAUCCCCAGGACUGGCAGAGGUCAACCAGAAAAGAAGCCAGGCAGGCAGGUGGGCAAACAGUGAGCCACCCCUCCAUUCCCGAGACUAAGCUGCCACCCCGAGCAUCUGCUCCCACCCCGAGGCUGCAUUCCUUCUCUCCAGUUUAUGACUGUUCAGAACAAAAAGAAGACGCAGGGGUCGGGGAGGACCCCCUGCCUGUCACCUUGUGAUCCUCCUGUUUUUUUUUGUUAGCCAGCAGUUCUAUGGUUGGAAAAGUUAUUCUGUGCUUCUGGUUUUGUGAAGCCGCAGCCAACUGGAUUCCUGGAAGAUUCUGUGUUUAAUGCAUCUUGAAAUCUCUCACUCUUGUUUUAAGGGCAGGCAUUUUCCAAACAGGUUUGUUUUGCAUUCUGUGUGGUGAACAGACGGGAGGUUUUUCUUUUCAGCUGAUUGCACUGAGAUAGACAGCCUGGAGGGUCUCCUGAAACACAGACCCUGAAACUGCCUUUUCGAAAUGAAUUCAGGCAAAUGUAUGACUCAGAAGCUGUUCUGAGGGAUGAUGCUGGGCCCUGUUCCGUCCGUUCUCUCUCUUUGUCUUACAAAAAUAAAAACAAAUACAACUA
Molecule: non-coding RNA, 1619 nt
Organism: Odocoileus virginianus texanus
Lineage: Eukaryota; Metazoa; Chordata; Mammalia; Artiodactyla; Cervidae
Source: RefSeq, a predicted model, not a curated record